GUGGGGUUUUGUGGUGUGGGUAGUACAGACUGUUGCUAAAAUAGGUGCUCGGAAAACAUAUACUAUUAAGGUCACUUUCUCCUUGUUAUAAUACACUGUAUAAAGAUACAUGUCACUUGUGAUUAGCUGAAUCAGAAGUUGUCUACUAGUAGAUCAAAAUAGCUAUAUGAUACCUACAAUAAAGCCACGAUUGCAACAUCAAAUCUUUACGGCUCGGAUUUAGAUCAUCGCCUAUUCCAUUUAGUAUCAUGUGGUUGAAGUGCUUCUUAGAUGCCAGGAAACCUGUCAUUGCACAUCUGUAAAAAAGGACAUUCAACCAUACAAGUUCCAGGGACAAUAUGCUUAGCGGGACUUUUUCAGACGUUUAGGAGGCCUCACUGGUUCUUUCCUUGUAUCAUCGGUGGUUUUUAAAUCCACAAAAGGCUCUUCCCAUUUCUUUUGUAGUUCCAAAAGUUCCUGACAGUAUGCAAGGCACUCGGCGUGGUAAACUGCUGCCAACUUUUUUAUCAAAGCCUUCCUUUUUAUAAUACCAAUCACUAGCAAGAAAAACAUAUUAAGAGCUGAUACAAAGAAUAAAAAACUGUAUUUUGUAUUUCACAACAAGCAAAAUAAUCUUCAAUCUCUCCCCGCAAAAAUUCCAACAAACACUCUUCACCUUAAAACUUCUUAAAAGGCUCUAUUUGAUAUUUUGGCCAAAUUCAAGUCCCACAAAAUAUAAUGAAUUCACUAAAGUAAAUAUGCAAAUAGAUAAUUCAAUAAUUCACACAGGAAACACCAUCAUCGCAGGCGUAUACCUUCAUGAUUAUAUACAAUGAAAACCGAAUCAUUGGUUCAGUGAUUUGUUCAAUAAAAGGAGAAAUCAUAUUAAAGAUAAAAAUCAUUCAUACGAAAGUUGAAGCCAGUAGAGGAAUUUCAUAUUCAGUAAUGAAAGAACCGGAAGAAAGCAGCAAAAAACCCUAAAAGGGAAAAACAAAAAAGCCCCCAAAAUCAUGAAAAAGCAAGAGAAAGCGAAAGGAAAUUACUUCGACUGGGGUCGAAGGGAGGAGGUGCUGGCGGAUCGGAUUGCAUUGAUGCAGCUUCAGCAGCAGCGGAAGCAGCGGCCGCAGGAGGAGUAGGCUGUUUCUGGUGAUGGGGCAUUGAUGAGACGAUUAGUCGAUUGUUGAAGUGGUUAUUAAGAAAGUUCGUGUUCGCCACAUAAUGACGCUAAUAAUUGUACCGUGGCCUCUGCUAUUAUGAUUUUUUGGUCAAGUCUUCAUUCUCCACCCUGAUUUUCAUCUCUGCGUGAAACAGCCAAGCCAACUACUCUUCACAGAAAACCUUUCUAUUUUUUUUUGGUGCCUUUCUAUACAAAAAUAAAAUUAUGUUAAUAGUACUAAAUAUUAUAUUUCUUACAAAUUUAAACAGUAUAAAUAAAGGUUUAAUAUCAUUUCACUUUUCUCUUCUAGAGAUUUUUCUCCU
RNAcentral lists this unclassified non-coding RNA (1458 nucleotides) under Hevea brasiliensis (rubber tree). Lineage: Eukaryota; Viridiplantae; Streptophyta; Magnoliopsida; Malpighiales; Euphorbiaceae. The record is from RNAcentral.